This is a non-coding RNA of Podarcis lilfordi (Lilford's wall lizard), 79 nucleotides long. Lineage: Eukaryota; Metazoa; Chordata; Lepidosauria; Squamata; Lacertidae. The record is from the annotation of a GenBank genome assembly.
GCAAGGUUGGUGGAUUAUCAGUUGGUAAAGCAUGAGACUCUUGAUCUCAGGGUCGUGGGAUAGAGCCCCACACUGGGCA